This 497-nucleotide ribosomal RNA is filed under the name uncultured bacterium. Its description in RNAcentral is "partial 16S ribosomal RNA". It matches the Rfam family "Bacterial small subunit ribosomal RNA", at positions 28 to 507 of the family's 1533-position model. The record is from RNAcentral.
GAUGAACGCUGGCGGCGUGCCUAAUACAUGCAAGUCGAGCGAACAGACGAGGAGCUUGCUCCUCUGACGUUAGCGGCGGACGGGUGAGUAACACGUGGAUAACCUACCUAUAAGACUGGGAUAACUUCGGGAAACCGGAGCUAAUACCGGAUAAUAUAUUGAACCGCAUGGUUCAAUAGUGAAAGACGGUUUUGCUGUCACUUAUAGAUGGAUCCGCGCCGCAUUAGCUAGUUGGUAAGGUAACGGCUUACCAAGGCAACGAUGCGUAGCCGACCUGAGAGGGGGAUCGGCCAAACUGGAACUGAGGCACGGUCCAAACUCCUACGGGAGGCAGCAGGAGGGAAUCUUCCGCAAUGGGGGGAAGCCUGACGGAGCAAAGCCGCGGGAGGGAUGAAGGUCUUCGGAUCGGAAAACCCUUUUAUUAGGGAAGAACAAAUGUGUAAGUAACUAUGCACGUCUUGACGGUACCUAAUCAGAAAGCCACGGCUAACUACGUG